GAGACAGGCUCAGUGGUAGAGCUAUCGGCUGUUAACCGAUCGGUCGUAGGUUCGAGUCCUACCUGUGGAGCCA
Molecule: transfer RNA, 73 nt
Filed under: Staphylococcus ureilyticus
Lineage: Bacteria; Bacillati; Bacillota; Bacilli; Caryophanales; Staphylococcaceae
Description: Staphylococcus cohnii subsp. urealyticus tRNA-Asn
Rfam family: tRNA (bases 4-67)
About the family: Transfer RNA (tRNA) molecules are approximately 80 nucleotides in length. Their secondary structure includes four short double-helical elements and three loops (D, anti-codon, and T loops).
Source: RNAcentral